GCAGCUUUUUAUCCUUGUUCAGUGCAACAUUAGUAUUUUAGUAAGGUCAUACCUGAUAUAUAUCCCUUUUAAUUCUAGGUGUAUUCACAUCAUCCGGUUCAAUACCUGCUAUAUGGAUCAAUUUUGCACGUAGACUUCUUUUUUCUGCGACGACCAAACUGAGUUGUCUAAGGUUGUUUCAUGUUCUUCUGCGGCCUUCUCCCAGGGAUCAUGAAUGUCGUAUGGCAAUAGGAAAAAUGCUUGAGCUUCCUGGGGAAAAAAGCUGGUAAUUCAUUUGGUGAACCAAGUGGUAAUUCUGAUAAAGUUAAAGACAUGAGCUCUAGUCUUAUCAAGCACGGCCUUAGCUAUCAUGGAAACGAUUUACUCUACUCAGGUGUGUUUCUUAUAUCAAGUCACUA
Long non-coding RNA from Lolium rigidum, 398 nucleotides. RefSeq lists it as uncharacterized. The record is from RefSeq and is a predicted model, not a curated record. The transcript has 3 exons. NCBI's taxonomy places the organism in Eukaryota, Viridiplantae, Streptophyta, Magnoliopsida, Poales, Poaceae.